Long non-coding RNA from Manis pentadactyla (Chinese pangolin), 2782 nucleotides. RefSeq lists it as uncharacterized. The record is from RefSeq and is a predicted model, not a curated record. NCBI's taxonomy places the organism in Eukaryota, Metazoa, Chordata, Mammalia, Pholidota, Manidae. The transcript has 2 exons.
GCAGGUAUUUGUGUGAACCCAGGCCGUCUGACUUGAGUGCGCGAGCCCAUUUUAUUUUCUGCUGCAGGCCCUGUGCGGCUCCAGAGCACCUCUGCCCCUAGGGCACUCGUCCCUGGGGACAGCGUCAGCCUUCAAAGGCCAGCUGCCGUGAAGACGGCAGCGGCAUUUGUCCUUGAGCCAGUCGGGCGUCUAGAGAGACGAGGGUUAGGAGUGGGAUUAUGACAAAGGAAAAGAAAGGAUUUGGACUUCUUUUCUACGUGUAUUGAUACAUGUAGUUGAUGAAUGUGGUGCACUAAAAAUACUUCUGGGAAAGGGAUAGAAUAAAAUGAAUAAGUGCAAAUGGACACGAACAGUGUCCUUAGAUGAAACUCAUAGCACGAGGAUGGGAAAUUCCCGCCAGCAGGAAGUUAGGCUCUGAUAUUCGACCUUGAACCUUUUUUUUUUUUUAAUCGGAGCGGACUUAAAAAGACCUUCCAAAAGAUAGUUUAACUUCCUCGUUUUGUAGUUGAAGAAAAUGAGGUGCGGAGCGACGACUUCACGUUUCACUAUCGUGUGUAGGUUAAAAUUAGAAAUCGUAAUAGAAAGGAAGGUGCCCAGUUACAAGUUAGUCUACUUUUGACCUCUUUCUUUGUAGCUUACUAGGUGAAUUACGGGUGAUUGAGAUGUGUUGGAAAUAUUUCACCCUUAAUGGCAGUUGGGAUCUUUUGUGGAUGGAAGCCUGUUUACAUUCAGUUCAUUUGUUUAGCAUUUUCUGUUAACGCUCCUGUGCAUAUGCAACAUAGGAGACACCUCCAAAGACAAGUAUGUAUUUUAGACUUUUUAAAAGCCAGUGUAGUCAUUAACGAAAUAAUAAAUGUUCUUGUGUUGCAGCCCAAAUCAUCACAUCACAAAUGUCUACUGGAGAUAAAACUACAAUAAAAAUUUUGGGACUAGUUCAUUGGAAUGGCUUUCAACUUUUUUUUUUAAAGACGUAUCUUCUGUUUGGGCACUUUCAAGGAUUGGUCUUUAAGGAUUUUUUUUGCGGUCGGAGCACAUACAGCCUUGAUCCUAAAGCCAACACAAAGUGAUCUGUUUGAAAAAUUUUAGUAUUACAAGCCAAAAGCGAGUUCCCUUCUGAAAUUGGGAAACUCCAUCAGAAAAUACUCUGAUUAGCUCUUAGACCUUAGCCCUGAGAGUUCAGAGAAAAUAACCAGGUAAAACUUCUCUUGAACCAGGAAAAAGUUGAAAUUGGACCUUCCACACCUGCUGCUAGCAGAGAUGUUACAUGAUCCUCAGAUCUGUUUAAGUACCUCAUUUACACUAAUUAAAAUCGCAGAGUGGAGUUAAUUUAUGGAAUUGUAAAUCUUAUGGGAUUUUAAAGAUCAUUUCAAGAGCUAAAAUAUGUAAGGUAGCAUAUCACUAAUGAAUAGAUAUUGGGUUUUUUUAGAUCUUUUGGAUCUCAUCUACUCAUUUUAAAAUAGAGCAGUCAGUCUUGAAGUUCAUUUGUCAUUAUUUUACUUGCCUUAGGUUUGUUUGGGUGGUUCAAUUAGAACUGGUAAACUGGAGAUUGUGUUUAUUGUUUUUCUUAAGGAUUUCUAAGUGGCCAAUUUUUCUUCACUUAAUGAGGUUAAGAACUGUCCUGUCCUUCCCCUUUCCCUACCAUAGUACCUUUUCACUAUUUCUUGAGAAAAUAUUUAAGGGAAAGUGUGAUUUUUAAAAUGUAUUUUUCCUGUCCUUUUCAUGGAGUACAAUUUGGAAAUACUGACUUCAAAAGUUCUAUGACUUGUAUAAACUUAGAUGUAAAAUUCAUGGAAAGUAAGCUUCCUUUAGUGAAAAUAGAUGAUUUCCUCCCUCCCCUUUUAUUCCCAGGUCUUGUUUCGUAUCUGAUCUUUCUAGACGAUAGUGAUUUUGCUUUUACAUUGUUCUUAGGAAUAUUAUUUUUGAGUGAUUUUGUAAUAUAUGCUGCAGAAGGUUUAUGAUCCUGUUGAUCUGAAAGCAGUGUAAUAAGGGAGUAAUCUCCAAAUAGGAAUACUUGGAAUGUUUGUUUGAUGAACUUUGCCUUGAAAGAAUGGCAUGUAUCUUUUAGGAAGUCUUCCGUUCUUCACAUUGGCAUUGGGAGGGGGGAAUGACUGUUACUGAUAAUUGAAACAAUAAAAUUAGUUGACCCUUAAACAACUGAGGUUUGAGCUCACUGACACCCUGAAUAGUUGAAAAUCCAUGUAUAACAUUUGACUUCCCCAAAACUUAACUGCUAAUAGCUACUGUUGGCUGGAAGCCUAACAAAUAACAGUCCAUUAACUCAUAUUUUGUAUAUGUACUAUAUACUGUAUUAUAAUAAAGUAAACUAGAAAAAAGGAAAAUGUUAUUAAAAAUCACAAGGAAGAGAAUACUGUAUUAAUGCUUUAGGUUGACGUCUAUUGACAAGGUGAAUUGUGCGUACCUGCAUCAGUAUUGUCUUAAUGAUACAAAACACUAGAUGUUACAUGUAUUACUAAUGUUACCCUUCAAAAAUGAAAGCAUGAUGUGGACAGGAAAUUCAUACUUAUUUACAGAUACAAUGAUUCAUGCAUUGAUAACAAAGCAACAGUAGGAUUCUGGUAGUCUAAUAUAAUUGAUGUUUCACAAUUGCCUGUCCUACACACUAAUUGAUGAAUUGCUAUAAAAUUUUCAUGGCAUACAGUAUGAGUGUCAUAUUCAUAAUACAGUAUUGGACAUACCUGACUUCUAAAUUUAUUCAGUAUUUCUAGGUGAUUGGGUUUGAGUUUUUUCAAGGUGUUGAGUAUCUCCAAAAAAUAUUUCCCAG